CUGUUACCAUCUCAUCGUACUCCUAAAAUUAGUGGAAAAUCAAAGAUAAAAAAGGGAACAUAUUAACAAAAUACAUACUUUUGGCAGAGUCUCAAGGUUUUCAGCUUCUUCAAGUUUGCUUGCAAUUUCAAGAUGAUACAAUCAUUUGGAAAAGCUCUCGCCAAAAAGACCAUGGAGAUUGUAGUAGAAAAUUGCAUGGGAGGGAGCAAUGUGGACAACAUGCAAACGCUGAAAAGAAAUUGGCAAGAGUAGAGCUGCAAAGCAUCAGAUGUCGAAGAGGAAGUGAAGAGAGAAGAAAUGUCAGGUAAAACGAAAAGGAAAAUUGAAGUUGACAAUUGGUUAAAGGAGGUUAAAUAUUUAAAUCCUGAAAUCGAUGCACUGGAAACACGAAGAUCAUCUUGGAGGCUUCCAUUGAAGGAGGAUCCUGUGCGGAAGCUGCAAUUUCAGGUGAAAGAACUUAUUGAUCAGAGCCGUCACUUCAAUGGGCUUGUGCUCCAUGCUUAUGACAACAUUGUGGAGCCAUGCUUGCCAACCAUAUUGUUUGGAGAAAAGGUCAAACAAAAUUUGGAGAGAAUUUGGCCAUGCUUGGUGACCGAUGACAUAUCAAGCAUUGGAAUUUAUGGGAUGGGAGGAGUUGGCAAGACCACAUUGGUGAAGCACAUCAAUUACUAUCUUCUACAAAAAGGUUAUCAAGUUCUUUGGGUGACAAUUUCUCAAGAGUUCAGUAUUAAGAGUUUGCAAGAAAAGAUUGCCAAUGUCUUAGGUGUUUGUUUAUCAGAUAAGGACGAUGAAGUAGUAAUGGCAUAUGUAUUGUAUGGGGCAUUCAGGAGAUUGGAGAAAUUAACAGUGCUCAUAUUGGAUGAUGUUUGGCAACAGUUUUGUUUACACAGGGCAGGGAUUUCUCUUGAUGCAAACAAGUGCAGGUUGAUAUUGACUACUCGCUCACUAGAAGUGUGUGACAGGAUGCAGUGUCAGAGAAUAUUUGAAGUGAAAAUUCUGGAUUCAAAUGAAGCUUGGGAAUUGUUCAUGUAUACACUAGGAGACAAGAAAGUGCUUCAUAUAGAUGUGGAAGAGAUUGCCAAGUCUGUCGCCAAAAGGUGUGCUGGUUUGCCUCUUGGUAUCGUCACUGUGGCUGGGAGCAUGAGAGGUGUUACUGACAUAUGUGAGUGGAGAAAUGCAUUGGAACAAUUGAAUUCAUGUUCAAUAGGGCAUGAUGAGAUGGAACGCGAUGUUUUUUCCAUCCUUGAGUGGAGUUUUGACCGAUUAAACAAAUAUGAACAGAAAUGUUUCCUGUAUUGCUGUCUUUAUCCAGAAGAUUGCAGGAUAGCAAGAGAGGGAUUAAUAAAUCUCUUCAUUAGGGAAGAGUUGAUGCCUAAACGAAGCUCAAGGUUAGCAGAAUUUGAUCAAGGUCAUAAGAUAUUAAACAAACUAGUAAAAGUUUGCUUGCUGGAAGAAACUACAGAUGACAGGGGCAAUGAGUGUGUAAGAAUGCAUGAUUUGAUAAGAGAUAUGGCAUUAAGGAUCACCAGUGGAAACUCUACUCUAAAGAUCAGCGGAGAUGUACCGAGGUUCUUGGUGAAGAGCAUACGAAUCGGAAAUUCCAGAGUGGCAUUCGAAGAAAAAGAAUGGACAGAAGAUCUCCAUGCAAUUUCCAUCUAUUCAAUUGGAAGUGCAAUAGAAAUUCCACCAGGCAUGUCACCAAAGUGUCCCAAGCUCUCAACCUUGCUUCUUCGUUCGCUACACAUAGGAAGAAUUCCAAAUACAUUCUUUAAGCACAUGUCUGGACUUAAGGUUCUAGAUCUAAGACACAAUAGAUUAAUAAAAGAGCUGCCUGACUGUGUUUCAAACCUGGUGAGUCUCACUGCUUUGGUGUUGCAGAAUUGUAUCCACCUCCAAUCUGUGCCACCAUUAGGAAAUCUUACACAAUUGAAGGAAUUGGACCUAUCUGGGUCUGGAAUUGAGGAUUUACCUCAAGGCUUGAAAUCAUUGGUCAACCUGGAAAGGCUGGACAUGCUCAAAUGCCAAAAUCUUCAAAGGGUGAUAAUACCAAAAGGGACAUUUUCUGAAUUGAGUUGUCUCCAACAGCUAGGAUUGGAUCCCUACUAUUUUGUACAAGUUAAUGAUCCAGAAGUGUCAAACCAAUUAGAAGUAUUUACUGGAUGCUUACCAUUUAAUGACUUCUAUGAAAUCUCUAGGCGGCCAAAACAUUAUACUGUUGAAUUCAAUGAGUUUUUACCUGAGGAUGGGUACUUUGAUCAUGAUGAUGAAUACAUUAAUGGUCAUUCUCAAGAGCUGUUGGCUUUCCGUCAGUGUAACUUCUGGAGAGGAUCGAAUAAUCCUGUUCUACUUCUGCCAAAUAAUGUCAAGCAUCUAAGACUUGUGAAAUGUGUUUGCUUGGGCAAUAGGUGCCUGUCAGAUGUUUUUAAGAACUUUACAAGUUUGAAAGACUUGUCUUAUUUGAGCAUUAUUGAUGUAGAUGACAUCGAGUUCCUCUUGAAAUUGCCCUCUCCUCCGCCUCCUCUUCAUGAUCAGUUGGUAGUCUCCUGUUUUAAUCCACUACAAAAUCUACAAGAGCUAAAACUCGUAGACUUGCUGAAUCUGGUUGAUCUCUUAUAUUGGGAAUCAGAACCAUCUUUUCUGCCACCUGCUACCUUUUCUUCCCUUGCCUGUAUCAUGAUUUCAAAAUGUCACAAGUUGAAGCAGCUGUUCACUGUGCAGUUGCUGCAAGGCCUUCAAAAUCUUGAUGACUUAUAUGUUGAUGAUUGUGAAGGACUGGAAGAGAUAGCAGAGGAUGAUGACGGAGUAGGACGUGGAGGAGAAGGAAUUCAAAGUGAAGCCACCACCACUGUCAUACUCCCGAAGUUAAGGCGUUUGUAUCUGAAUCGGCUUCCAGAACUGAAUCACAUCUGGAAUGCAGCCAAGAUUUGCAAAUCACUUCAGUAUAUUAAUGUACGUGACUGUCCAACGGUAAGGAGGCUGCCUUUGUUUCUUCCCACUACCACUGCACUGCCAUCUCCUCCCAACCCUCUUAUAGAAAUCUAUUGUGACCAAGGAUGGUGGCAAUCGUUAGUCUGGGAAAAUCCCAAUGACAAAGUUUCCCUUAAACCAAUUUUUUCAAAAGAAAAUGAAGAAUGAAUUGGAAGACCCUCUGUUUGAUCAAAUUCUUCACUGGUUGACAUUCAUCUAUGAACAUAUCAGACCUGUAUGGAAUGAUAUUUUUCUUUUAAAAAAACAGAUGGAAGAAAAACCUCAGAUGGAGUUUCCUCUUGCAAAAGACAAUGCAAUUGUAUGUCAUCUUAUAUGGUGUUGACUUCUGUAACAAAAAAGCAGAGUAUGUUUGAGAUGGCAACUAGCUAAUGCACGGUCAUGCAAUAUAUGAAGAAGAAAAAUUUGAGGAAAAGAAUAUCAGAACUUGUAAAAUAGCUGGCUGAAGUCUCAAGAUGACAGCCUAGAGGACGUUUAGUUAUAUUAUCUGUCAAAGGAAGUGAAGAAGUGGAUGGCGCAAUUGAUCUAGUUUUGUUGCAUGAAGAAGCAGAAACAAAAUGACCAGAAGGCCAAGGUGCUGCAACAUUGUCAUUGAGAUCGCUGAUGGGACUUCUUUAUUCUGCGUUCUAGAGGUUCUGCAUUUUCCGUUUAUCAGUUGGGCCAGAUGCUGUGUGACAACUGCAAAAUUUUCAUUCAAUCUCAAAGGCUUUCUGGUCGGUGAUUUUUCAAGCAGUAAAGGGUUGAGACCGGGGGAUCCCAUCUCCCCUUACCUAUUUCUUAUUGUCAAGGAGGUGUUCUCUCAGUUGUUUGAUGAUUAUAUCACUGCAGAUGCAUAUGAUUUUUAUCCUAGAUGUGCUGAGCUUGGGAUUUCACAUAUUUCCUUUGCAGAUGAUCUAUUUGUUAUGGCCUCUGCUGCUCCUAAAUCAUUCGAAUGACUAAGAAGACCUUAGCAGAAUUUUCAGACAUGCCUGUCCUUAUUCCAAACCUGUCUAAAUCUGAAAUAUUUUUAGCUGGAGUGGGGGAGGAGCUUCAGAAGAGGAUUGGUGAAGAUCUGGCUAUACCUAUUGUAACUCUAGCUGUAAAGUAAUUGGGGGUCCCCCUUAUUUCUACUAGAUUAACUAUGCAGGAGUGUCAACCUUUCUUGACAAAAUGAUGAAAAGAAUCCAGAACUGGGCAGUCAGGAAGCUAUCUUAUGGAGGAAGACUCACUCUUAUUAGAACUGUGCUUAACAGCAUAUUUGUAUACUGGGGCAGUAUAUUCAUAUUAUCCUCUGCUUUUGUAAAGAAAUUAGAGAGCUUGCUGAAUUCUUUUUUAUGGUCAGGUUUUGAGCUCAAGCAUUCUAAAACUAAAGUUGGCUGGAGGGAAUCUGUCUACCAUUGAAGAAGGUGGUUUGGAAUAAAGCCUUGGUGCUCAGGCACAAUUGGGAUAUCUUUCACAAGAAAGAUUCCCUAGGGAUAAGGUUGGUUCACAUACAUGCAUGCUGAGGGAUUAUUUUUUUUGGGCUAUUGACGCUUAGGCUUUUGGCUCUUGGAAUUGGACCGAACUGCUGAAGUUAAGACCUGUAGCUAGACAGUGUAUACAAAUGAUUGUUGGCAAUGGAAGAAAUAUGUACUUGUGGCAUGAUUGGUGGAAUCCUUAGGGGCUUCUCUAACUGACUUAUUCCAUGUGUAUCGUGCAGUUAUUUAGCUGUAUCCAGCAAGCUAAGGUUGAUAGUAUCAUCCACAGUGG
Molecule: RNA transcript, 4713 nt
Organism: Coffea eugenioides
Lineage: Eukaryota; Viridiplantae; Streptophyta; Magnoliopsida; Gentianales; Rubiaceae
Gene name: putative disease resistance protein At1g63350
Exons: 5
Source: RefSeq, a predicted model, not a curated record